Molecule: ribosomal RNA, 293 nt
Filed under: uncultured bacterium
Lineage: Bacteria
Description: partial 16S ribosomal RNA
Rfam family: Bacterial small subunit ribosomal RNA
Source: RNAcentral
AACGAACGCUGGCGGUAUGCUUAACACAUGCAAGUCGAACGAAUAUGACCUAGCUUGCUAGGAAACAGUUAGUGGCGAACGGGUGAGUAACACGUGGGAAUUUACCUAGGAGUACGGAAUAACUAUUAGAAAUAGUAGCUAAUACCGUAUGGUCUCUUCGGAGUAAAGAUUUAUCGCUCCUAGAUAAGCCCGCGCUAGAUUAGCUAGUUGGUAAGGUAAUGGCUUACCAAGGCGACGAUCUAUAACUGGUCUGAGAGGAUGAUCAGUCACACUGGAACUGAGACACGGUCCAG